RNAcentral lists this ribosomal RNA (253 nucleotides) under uncultured bacterium. RNAcentral describes it as "partial 16S ribosomal RNA". It matches the Rfam family "Bacterial small subunit ribosomal RNA", at positions 524 to 776 of the family's 1533-position model. The record is from RNAcentral.
UACGUAGGGUGCAAGCGUUGUCCGGAAUUAUUGGGCGUAAAGAGCUCGUAGGCGGCUUGUUGCGUCGGAUGUGAAAGCUCGGGGCUUAACCUUGGGUCUGCAUUCGAUACGGGCAGGCUGGAGUUCGGUAGGGGAGAUCGGAAUUCCUGGUGUAGCGGUGAAAUGCGCAGAUAUCAGGAGGAACACCGGUGGCGAAGGCGGAUCUCUGGGCCGAUACUGACGCUGAGGAGCGAAAGCGUGGGGAGCGAACAGG